AGAGUUUGAUCCUGGCUCAGUAUCGAACGCUGGCGGCGUGGCUAAAACAUGCAAGUCGAACGCGAACGUUCCCUUCGGGGAACAAGUAGAGUGGCGAAAGGGCGAGGAAUACAUGGGUAACGUGCCUCGAGCACGAGGACAGCCGGGGGAAACUCCGGUUAAUACUCGAUAAGACCACAGCACCGCAGGGUGCAGGGGUCAAAGGGUGGGGACCUUCGGGCCUGCCGGCUCGAGAGCGGCCCAUGUCCUAUCAGCUUGUUGGUGGGGUAACGGCCUACCAAGGCUACGACGGGUACCGGGACUGAGAGGUUGACCCGGCGCAUCGGGACUGAGACACUGCCCGGACUCCUACGGGAGGCUGCAGUAACGAAUAUUGGGCAAUGGGCGAAAGCCUGACCCAGCGACGCCGCGUGUGGGAAGAAUGCCUUCGGGUUGUAAACCACUGUCAGGGAUUACCAACCAACCGGUGUGAAUAGCGCCGGGAGUUGAGGAGUCCCAGAGGAAGUCACGGCUAACUUCGUGCCAGCAGCCGCGGUAAUACGAAGGUGGCUAGCGUUGUUCGGAAUCACUGGGCUUAAAGAGCACGUAGGCGGAUGAUCAAGCGUCUUGUGAAAGCCCUCGGCUCAACCGGGGAAUUGCUUGGCGAACUGAUCAUCUUGAGGCAGGUAGGGGCGAGUGGAACUCUUGGUGGAGCGGUGGAAUGCUUAGAUAUCAAGAGGAACGCCAGAGGCGAAGGCGACUCGCUGGGCCUGACCUGACGCUGAGGUGCGAAAGCCAGGGGAGCGAACGGGAUUAGAUACCCCGGUAGUCCUGGCCCUAAACGAUGUCCACUAGGUCGGUGAGGUUCUAAUGCUUUGCUGGCCGAAACAAAAGCGUUAAGUGGACCGCCUGGGGAGUACGGUCGCAAGGCUAAAACUCAAAGGAAUUGACGGGGGCUCACACAAGCGGUGGAGCAUGUUGCUUAAUUCGAUGCAACGCGAAGAACCUUGUCCUGGGCUUGACAUACACGGAUGCCCUCCUGGAAACAGGUCGGGUUGCCCUUCGGGGUGAAACGUACACAGGUGCUGCAUGGCUGUCGUCAGCUCGUGUCGUGAGAUGUUGGGUUAAGUCCCGUAACGAGCGAAACCCUUGUCGCUAGUUGCCAGCGCGUAAUGGCGGGGACUCUAGCGAGACUGCCGGUGUUAAACCGGAGGAAGGUGGGGAUGACGUCAAGUCCUCAUGGCCUUUAUGCCCAGGGCUGCAAACGUGCUACAAUGGUAGGGACAGAGCGACGCAAGACCGUGAGGUGGAGCAAAUCGCAAAAACCCUGCCCCAGUUCGGAUCGGAGUCUGCAACUCGACUCCGUGAAGUCGGAAUCGCUAGUAAUCGCGCAUCAGCGUGGCGCGGUGAAUGUGUUCCUGAGCCUUGUACACACCGCCCGUCAAGUCAUGGAAGCUGGGAGCACCCGAAGUCGGGGCGAAUCAGCCCUGCCGAAGGUGAGCUCGGUGACUGGGACUAAGUCGUAACAAGG
RNAcentral lists this ribosomal RNA (1510 nucleotides) under uncultured organism. RNAcentral describes it as "bacterial SSU rRNA". It matches the Rfam family "Bacterial small subunit ribosomal RNA". The record is from RNAcentral.